Molecule: ribosomal RNA, 520 nt
Filed under: Hyperolius ocellatus (golden-eyed reed frog)
Lineage: Eukaryota; Metazoa; Chordata; Amphibia; Anura; Hyperoliidae
Description: partial 16S ribosomal RNA
Rfam family: Bacterial large subunit ribosomal RNA
Source: RNAcentral
GAUUUAGUUUAACGGCCGCGGUAUCUUGACCGUGCAAAGGUAGCACAAUCAAUUGUCCUCUAAAUAAGGACUAGUAUGAACGGCAUCACGAGGGUUUGACUGUCUCCCUACUUUAAUCAAUAAAAUUGAUUUUCCCGUGAAGAAGCGGGAAUAUAAAUAUAAGACGAAAAGACCCCAUGGAGCUUUAAACUUAUCAUCACUUAUCAAAAAUUUUAAAACACACAUUGAUAAAUAUGAGAGAUAGUUUUCGGUUGGGGCGACCCUGGAGAAAAAUUAAUCCUCCAAGCUGUAAAAAUAAAAUAUGCUAGAGCAACAACUCAAACAAUCAAAACCUUGACAAAAUGACCCAGAAUAUAUCUGAUCAACGAACCAAGUUACCCUGGGGAUAACAGCGCAAUCCAUUUCAAGAGCCCCUAUCGACAAAUGGGUUUACGACCUCGAUGUUGGAUCGGGAUGUCCUAGCAACGCAGCCGCUGCUAAGGGUUCGUUUGUUCAACGAUUAAUAUCCCACGUGAUCUGA